GACGAACGCUGGCGGCGUGCUUAACACAUGCAAGUCGAACGAAGAGCGAUGGACGCUUGCUUCUAUCAAUCUUAGUGGCGAACGGGUGAGUAACGCGUAAUCAACCUGCCCUUCAGAGGGGGACAACAGUUGGAAACGACUGCUAAUACCGCAUACGAUCUAAUCUCGGCAUCGAGGAUAGAUGAAAGGUGGCCUCUACAUGUAAGCUAUCACUGAAGGAGGGGAUUGCGUCUGAUUAGCUAGUUGGAGGGGUAACGGCCCACCAAGGCGAUGAUCAGUAGACGGUCUGAGAGGAUGAACGGCCACAUUGGGACUGAGACACGGCCCAGACUCCUACGGGAGGCAGCAGUGGGGAAUCUUCCGCAAUGGACGAAAGUCUGACGGAGCAACGCCGCGUGAGUGAUGACGGCCUUCGGGUUGUAAAGCUCUGUUAAUCGGGACGAAAGGCCUUCUUGCGAAUAGUGAGAAGGAUUGACGGUACCGGAAUAGAAAGCCACGGCUAACUACGUG
This 510-nucleotide ribosomal RNA is filed under the name uncultured bacterium. RNAcentral's name for it is "partial 16S ribosomal RNA". It matches the Rfam family "Bacterial small subunit ribosomal RNA", at positions 28 to 507 of the family's 1533-position model. The record is from RNAcentral.